RNAcentral lists this non-coding RNA (21 nucleotides) under Arabidopsis thaliana (thale cress). The record is from RNAcentral. Lineage: Eukaryota; Viridiplantae; Streptophyta; Magnoliopsida; Brassicales; Brassicaceae.
UUGUGUCCGCCCCAACCGCCG